Molecule: long non-coding RNA, 5478 nt
Filed under: Sus scrofa (pig)
Lineage: Eukaryota; Metazoa; Chordata; Mammalia; Artiodactyla; Suidae
Description: lncRNA (ENSSSCG00000057352.1)
Source: RNAcentral
UUAUUCCUUUGUAUCCCAAAUCUAUUGUUACCCUCUCAGGAAGUAAUUGCUUGAACAUUUGUUAAGUGUUUCUUCAAGGACUAAUAAAAUUCUUGAAAAACAUAGGGUCAAGUAUAAGAGCUUCUUCUGUGUUUAUAUCAGUCCAUUAUUCAUAUUAUCAAUAUUCUUUAGUAUUCUUUAGUUACAUUAUGUACCCAGACAGAGAAAUACAUGACCAAAUCUUUUAUCAAGUGGUCUCUAAUCAUUACUACUGAACACUUUAUUACUUUUUCUUAAAAAGAGCAUUUCCAAUUAAUGAAAGAAUAAGAAAAAUUAUUAAGUGCAUAAAAAUUUGUAAUUUAUUUCAAAUAAUUUCUUUAAAAAUAUUAUAAUUCCCUCCUGGUCUCUGACCUUUGACUUGAACAUCAAAUACAAUUUUUGUUUAGAUCAUGCAUGGUCAGUUGUGUGGUUAUGGAAAAGUACCUUCCAAUGUAUGGAGAAAGACCAUUCAAUUUCUGACUGUUUCUAAUUUGACCUUAGUGAUGUCUAAUUAUCUCAAAAACAAAAAUCUGUGCAUGCAUCAGUCCUUCUUUAACUCUGAAUUUGAUAAGGCAAUCUACUAAAAUAGAAGGGAGUUAAAGGAUAUUAUAAAAGGGAAAAACAUUUAAUUUAGUCACAAUAAAUUAUUCACUUGCUCUUUACAUACUAGUAUAUGAUAGUAUUUGUUAUGUACUCACUACUAGGAAAACACAUUUUUGUAUUAAAGCCUCCAUGUCUUAAAGGAAUCCUAUUAGCAGGUUAUAGCAUCUUCAUUUUGCCAAUGAGACAUGGAGAAAUAAAAAUCUAACAUUAUUGAAUGCUUCAUUUAUACUAGACACUUAUAAUUGCUUAAACAUGUUAAUCUUCACAGCAAUGAAAUAGGUCAGAAUUAAUAUCAUUCCCAAUUUAUGUAUGGAGUUAUAUUGCAAAGAUACAUUAAAAAACUUGUCCAAGGGCACACAAUUUAGAGAUUGAGAAUUCAGUCCUAGGCAAUCUGGCUUCAACACUUGUUCUCUUAAACUUAAUGUUAUAGUUGCAUCUAUAUAAGAGAACCAGGACUCAAUCUCAGAAAUCCUAGCUGUGAAACCCCAUUCUUUAAAUGUUACACUGUAUUACCAACAGUCUGUUUCCUGUAAUGGCAAAUUAGGUUAUUUUUAACCAGCAUUUACACUAAAAAAUCUGGACAAGAUAUUUUUAGAAACGUAUGUAAGUGUUUUAGGAACUGGCCAAUGCAGUGAGGCAUUACAGGGUUUGAAUAAGGAGAGAAGAGAAGCCAAAAAAGCCAGGAAUUUGGGCCCUUUAAUUCUUGAGAUAUGUGCAGAUUCAAAAAUACAGUGGCUGGGAGAGACUAUACAAAAAUUUGGCAGACACCUUGGAUGGUGGGAGAAACUGCAGCUCCAUGCUUUCAACUGGGACACAAUUAGGAACCUUAAAAAUAUACCUUAGGAAUAAAGGUUAACCAUAAAUUGGCCUCACUACUUUAUUAGAUUCAUGUUAUCUGCUAGCUGCCUAACGGAAACAAAACUCAAUGCUUUCUAAAGUAAGAUUAGUAUAAGAGAACAUAGGAUGUGGUUAAAGGUCUGACUUAUGUUUAAUUCAGAUCCCAAAUAGGAACGAGAUAACUAGGGUAAAAUAAACAGUUAAAAGGCUAAUGACUGAAAAAUUUCCAAUACUAACUGAAAACCUCAAGAUAAAGACUAAGGAAGAUCUGAGGAUUCCAACUGGGAAAAUUCAACCAAAACUAUACUUAGGUCCAUCAUAUAAAAUCUGGUGACAGAUAAAAUAUAACUAUUAAUAAAGCUGAAGAGGUAUAAAAAAAUUUAGGCCCCUUCAAAAAAACGAAAAUAAGACUAAUAGUUAACUUAUUAGCAGAAACAAUGGGAGCCAGAGGACAAUUUCCAUAAAACACUAGAAGUUAAUAACUGCCAACCCAGAAGUCUAUACCCCAUUAAGAUAUUCUUUGACAAAUAAACCUACUUAAAGUCAUUUUCAAAUAAAAACUUAGGUAAUUUGUCACAAGCAAAGCUGUAUAGAAAGUAUUAAAGGGUGUUUGAGCACAAAGAUUAGACUUCUACAUAAAUGUUCUGAUUUGGAAACUAUAGGACCUUAAGAGAAGGAUUAGGAACAUCUCAUUGGAUACAUCGGGAAAUCUUGUACUGACUUCAAAGAACAUGGCCUUUGUAGACUCAGUAUCUGAGUACAAGCUAAAAAUAGACUGUUCCUACCCUUCAGUCCCACUCAAGUGUGGCCUUAAAAGGCAGGAGAGAGAUAAGAGAAAAAGUUUCCACUGGACAGAGAUUUGAAUAGUACAGUCAUUAGAUACUGUUUUUGGUAUGUUAGAAAAGAGAACUGUUUCUAUGUAAUGUGUGUGUAUGAAUAUGUAUAUAUAAGGAACUAGUGGUUUGGUCAUGUGAUUGGGAGGAAAAUAUUGGAAGAUUAGAGAGAAGGUUGUCUGGAGAAGAAGCACGUGGCAUGAGGUUGAAACUUCAGGAGUAUACGUAAGUGUAAACAUCCUUUAAUCCCAUAUUAAUGCCCAACAGACAGCAUUCACCAUCAACAACAAAGUAGAUAGAGGGACUUAACCAGUUGAUGUCAGCAAGCCUCUAGUCAGAGUUGGCACAAUGAGUGCAUGAGCCCACUACUAAAAUAAUGCACUACACCUUGAGGAAAUAAACCAUCCAACUGGUAGCAAGUUGAUCAAUGGAAGAACGAUGCUCCGUCUUGAUGAGUUUUCAUAUGGCCUUUCCGUCAGAGCCUCAUGUUGCAACAUUAAUGGAAGUAACAGAGUGUUUGAUUCACUGGGAUACUCAUGUUAGAACAAGGGACGUACUUUUCAUCAAAGGAGGUGAUGCAGUGGGCACAUGAUGAUGGGAUUCAGCGACCUUAUUGCUUAUAACAAUAGCCAGAAAACACCAACCUGAUAGUGUUUGAACAGCAUACGAAUGCCAGCUCGGAGAUAAUAGUUGGCAGGAUACCCUGCGUCAGUGGGCCGUCACACCUUCAGGAUUCAGGAAGACCAUUAUAUCAAUGGUCAUUGGAUGCUCUGUCACAAUAGACAGAAUUUAUGGGUCCAGAAGUCAAUAUAUAGGAAUGUUCCUACUUACCAUUAUGCCCAGUGGCCCACUUUGGAAAUUUGAGGUUUAUUCCCUACAAAUCCAUGCUUUGUGCAUAUAGAGGUGCUGAUUUCCAGAAAGGUAUUAACUCUACCUGCACAGAGAAGCAAGGAACUAGUAAGGAAAGAAAGGUGUGAUCUUCCUAUCUGGAGAAGGUGGAGUAGCUGCUAAACUGGGAGGGCAGGAGGAACAUUUUGACACUAGGUGACACACUAUGGAGAUUCUUGAUACAUUUUUGCCCAAGUUUGUCUGUUAAUUGCCAAGUACAGUAGCAUUGGCUUGAAAUGUUGCUGUUGAUUAGGGACCCAGAUCCCUCAGAUCAUUGUACUAGGUAAGUCUCUAUUAAUUCACCAGUAGAGGUGAUACCUGAGGAUGGUGGAAACCUGUUUAGAAUGGGAAUGAGAAGAUGGAAAUAAGACCAACUGCUGUGAUAACAGCUCUAAGCUAUCUCAGAAAUCUUUAUUGUGCAGGUUUCCUUAGUGAAAGAGACCACACAAACCUGAAGGAACUAUUUCCAGAUGAAGAAACUUUAAUACAAAGCAAAUAGAUCUGAGUGGGAAAUGGGUGGAUGUUUUGGUAUGCUUCUCAGACACACCCCAUUUAUUUGCUACUGAGGCACUCAUUCCUUACCUACUGGGAGCUUUGGCUAUUGAUGGCUUACUGUUGAGUCUCUCACUGAGGAUUUCCUUCAACCAAAAGAAGUUGUCUCACCUUUGUCUUACUUGAUGCAGGAGGGGAGAUAUAAGGCCUAUUUCUUAAAUACUGUCCCAGGUUGCUGUGAAACUGUCUCACAGUUCAGAUGUCCUCUUCUUCCCAAUUAUGUUUGUCUUGCACCCUGACACGUGUUAUACCCAUGAGUUCUCCCCAAUAUAUCUCCUGUUUGCAAAUGUCACUUUCAGAGCCCAUGUCCCAGAGAACCUAAUCAGUGAUAUUGUCAAGAAUGCAUACAGCCACAUAGCUUAUUCCAUAGUUUAAGGUUGGAGGUAAGGAAAUACUUAGUACGAAGUAUACAGAUAAUAAGUAAUCUGGAGAAAUAUGAGUAUGUUUGAAGCCAAAUAAAUCCAGAAAGUAGAAACAUCAGCAUUUGUUCUUUAACUAUGGGUAUGGAAGGGAUGUUUGGUCACCUUUGAUUUUUCAGGCAUUUGAGCGUCAGGUGAUACACAGUUUAAACUAAGAAGAGAGCAGAGUUUGGAGAGAGAAUGAAAUAUUCACUCUGGGGCGUAAUUUUAGUUGCUUUGAGAUUUCUGAGCAGACCAGUGGUAUGCAGAUGAGGACUGAGAGCAUAGGGUUAGAAGGAAUUGCUUCAGGGGGCUGUUAUUCUAAAAAGAGAAAUGAGUGUGUCAAACCUGAAGAAUGCAGACUUUUAGAGACGACCGAAGAAAUGGAAGUAUACUAAAAACAGGGAAAAUAAAAGUUGUUGGAUCGAAUGAGUUUCCAGGGAGGUGGGGCUACGCAGAAAGACUGAUACAUCUUUUAAGAAAGAAAAUAUUUCAAGAAUAGUGCUAAUGGUAAAUAAAAUUCAUAUUGAGGACAUUCUGCAGAGUUUAGAACCACAUGUUUUUAGUAAUUUUUAUUUUAAUUUUAGUAAUUAGAAAAAAUACUAUUUUAUGAGAUGCAAGUGGAACUGGGAGGAGAGAUGAAUGGAAUGAUGCCAAGAAUACUUGGUAAAAAAGUAAAGAGUUUUUAAACAUGUUGGAGUGUUGAUGGGGGAAAAAGUAGAGAGGGAAGUUUGGGAGGCUUGGAAAAGAGGAUAAUUCACAGUGAGGUGUCAGAGGAGGCUGGAAAGAUGAAGUUCAGAACAGUUGAUUAGCCUUAAAAAUUAGGAGAAAUAUUUUCUGAACCUUACAGUGGUGAAAAGGAAAUUGUGUGGAUGAAUCUGUAGUUACUAUAGUUUUAUUAAAUAUGAUUUUAUUGUAUAUCUGAUUUUACAUAGAUACAUAAUUUAAGGUGUGAACAUUAUAAAGAAUUCCUAAUACACUGGAGUAUUCCACCAUGUAAAUCAAUUUGAAACCCUAAAAUAGCUUUGAAGAGAUUGUUAAGUUAGUGCUGAGUUCAAUUCCAAUAUUGAGAAUCCUUUCGAGAAUGGAUUGCUUUUAAUUUCAGAAUAACUUUGGGUUUAUUACCACUAAAAUAACUAAGAAAAAAAAUAUUAUAUUAUAGGAACAAAAAAUCAACACUUUAAGAAUUUUAUGCAAUGUAUUUAUUACAAGCCUAGUACAGUAUGAGUGGUAUAAAAGACAAAUAAUAUACAGACCCAAUAAUGAAAACUAAGCGGGAGGUUCUAUGCCAAAUGAAAAACAUAAAAGUGAAAUAAAAACUCAAAAAGAUUAUGGGAUUAUUGCAGUAA